CCCUACAUAUGGGGGAGUAACAGUCGGAAACGACUGCUAAUACCGCAUAGGGCAUAGGAUCACAUGAUCCAGUGAGGAAAGGUGGCGCAAGCUAUCGCUAAGAGAUGGACCCGCGGUGCAUUAGCUAGUUGGUAGGGUAAAGGCCUACCAAGGCGAUGAUGCAUAGCCGACCUGAGAGGGUGAUCGGCCACAUUGGGACUGAGACACGGCCCAA
This 214-nucleotide ribosomal RNA is filed under the name uncultured bacterium. Its description in RNAcentral is "partial 16S ribosomal RNA". It matches the Rfam family "Bacterial small subunit ribosomal RNA", at positions 125 to 334 of the family's 1533-position model. The record is from RNAcentral.